UGAUACCAGGGUCAAAAGGUCAUGUUGUUCAUGCUUGCAUGAAAAAACAUGACUUUGGGACCCGUAAAAACAUGAGAAAGUAGCCCGAACAGGGCGGAUUUCGAAUGUUUUUAGGAUUGUGGGAGCACAUCGUGCGGAACAAUCCGUGGGUAUCA
Small RNA from Anaerobium acetethylicum, 155 nucleotides. It matches the Rfam family "Clostridiales-1 RNA". The record is from Rfam. NCBI's taxonomy places the organism in Bacteria, Bacillati, Bacillota, Clostridia, Lachnospirales, Lachnospiraceae.